GGCCUCUGGUUUUUUUUUGAGGUUUGGCCUGCCCAGUGAAGGUUUAAACGGCCGCGGUAUUUUGACCGUGCAAAGGUAGCAUAAUCAUUAGUCUUUUAAUAGGAGGCUGGAAUGAACGGCUCGACGAAAUAUCAGCUGUCUCAUUAUAAUAUUUUAUAAUUUAUUUUUUAAGUUAAAAAUCUUAAAUUUAGUUGGAAGACGAGAAGACCCUAUAGAGCUUUAUUUUUAAACUUUAAUAUUGUUUUUGUUUUAUCAUUUUUUAUUAAUUUUUAUUAGUUUUGUUGGGGUGAUGAAAAAUAUAUAUGUAACUUUUUUAUUUAUAAAACAUUUAUUUAUGAUAUUUAGAUCCAUUAUUAUUGAUUGUUAGAUUAAGUUACCUUAGGGAUAACAGCGUAAUCCUUUUUGGGAGUUCAAAUCUACAAUAGGGCUUGCGACCUCGAUGUUGGAUUAAGAUAAUGAUUAGGUGCAGUAGCUUAAUUAAUAGGUCUGUUCGACCUUUAAAUUCUUACAUGAUCUGAGUUCAGACCGG
Molecule: ribosomal RNA, 529 nt
Filed under: Heteragrion inca
Lineage: Eukaryota; Metazoa; Arthropoda; Insecta; Odonata; Megapodagrionidae
Description: partial 16S ribosomal RNA
Rfam family: Bacterial large subunit ribosomal RNA
Source: RNAcentral